AGGCCCGCAACUUAGGGACGGUGUCCAGGAGCAAGGACCGCCAGCGGAGUUUUCAACCCACCACCCGGCUGCAAGCACCCCUGAGGUCGGAUACAGUGAGAACCAGUCUUGUGAAAAAGUUGUACUUGAAAUGUUUCUGCCUCUUUACUUCCUGGGAGCUCCCCGCUGGGUCCCCUAUAUUGUAAAUGCAGGUACUCUCCGUUCACGUUCACAACGUCUGCGUGAGUGCGAGGCUCUUAGGACUCUCAUUGUGCAGGAAAGGAUUAAGUCAACACACAAAUUUAAAUGGGACUGGAGACAGGUCAAGUAGGGCCGACCCCACGGAAGAGUAGACAAGACCACCAACCAGUAAACAGAGGUUAAGCUUCUAGGAAGCAGGAACGCCAAAUAGAUAAAAUUAACUGGAAAGGCAAGCUGCAGAACGGUAGGGAAAAACGGGAUCCCAUUAUUGCGGGUGGCGGUUAGAGAAACCCUACAAGUUCUUUAUGAUUUUACAUGCAGAGAAAAUGAGCGCAAGGUAAAACAGCACUGGUAGCACUGGUAAGCGGUCACUAGUUUUCUCCUGAUGUUUUGCUUAUUUUUUUAGAAAAAAAGAAAAUUUUAAAGUGUAAUGAAGUUAUUUAUGCAGAAGAGGAAUGUUUUCACGUUGGUAGGAAAAUAAAGCCUGGCCAUUUUAUUCUUUCUAAAACAAAACAAAACCCCCGACUCUUCCUCACCUUAGAAAGACAAAGCAGAAUGAGCUUGAACUCUUCACAACCAGAGGCCAGGUCUCCUGGCUUUUCCCACACAAACUUCAGCAUAGAAAGGAAAGCUCAGGACAGCAGCCUGUACCACUUGAAAUCCUAAAGCCUUACACAUUUUCCUGAAAGAUGCCCUUAAUGCAUUUCCAGCUUUAUCAGCGAUCAGCAGUUUAAUCGGCAUUUAAGUCUCUCAAAUUCUUACCUGAGAAAUAAAGAAGAAAUGGUUCUUUUCUAAAAAGUUAUAAUAAGAGCUCUCGGGUUUUCUCUUUUUAAUAGAAUCUUGCCUGAUUAGAGGACACCUUAAAAAACCUUUCACAUGAUGGCAAAUUUUCGUAGUGUUUUAUCAUUUACACCUGGAGAUGGUUAACAAUGUGGUCUCGAUCCUAAUUUUAUCUCGUGCCCCCAAGAUGAUUCUGCACCUGCCAGUCAACUGUUUCCCUUCCGGUAAAACUCCUGGUAGAAGAGAGGUCUCAGAGGCAGAGCCACCGAGCCACGGGGUGGUAAGCCCGCGCGGAUGUCCCCAAGCCCGGCGCCCGCCCUGCAGAAGCCCACUCCUCUCACUCCCUCCAGGGUUCGCGGCGCCUGCCCCGGAGUGCGGCGCAGCUCCGCAUCCUGCCAGCCCGGGUCCCCGCGCGAGCCGCCCGCGCUCCGCCUUAGCCACACCUUGAAAACGCCGGAUGGAGACUCGCCCAAAGCCGGGGCUGGCUCCCCGGGGCUCGCCGCCCCCUCGCCCUUCACCUUCACAUCCUGGAGAGGGACCGGCCCCGCCGUUACCUCCCGCACCGCGCUCCGCAACCCCCCAGCCAGACUCGAAGCCUCCGCUGACCGCCGGGAUGGGGCGGGGAGCGAGGGAGGGAGAUUCCCCGCGGGCCGCUCUCUUCCCCACGCCCGACCCCGUCCCCCGGUCAGCCCCCGGUGCAGCCAACGCCCCCGCCGGCCCACUGACACUGCAGGCGCCCCGGGCCGCCAAGCCUUUUCGGCACCGACCGGCCCUCCGGCACCGCACGUUCCAGCCGUCCGCUGCACCUGCGCUGCGGAGAACUGGACACCGAGCACCGUGACGCGCGGCCCCUUGCUCACUGAGCGCGGCGCUCACUGGGGUUAAUUUUCCCCUCGGCCGAAAGUCACAGGCGAGACCCCAAUCGUCCCCUCGGAGGAGGAGUCGGUCCCGGAUGUCACGUUUGCGACUUCUGAGGUCCUCGCCUGGGAGACUCGUUCCUCAACGACACAAAAGGGAAGCACUGGCCUAACCUUCGAGUCCGCCUCGCUUCAGACCACGUCCACCCGCGUUGUCGGCACCGGGGCGCAAGGCCACGGAGCCAAACGCCUGGAAGGGGCACACGACGUCACGGUUUUGGGGGCCCGGUCACCAGGAUGGCCGUGCUCUCCUUGACCCACACAGAACCUAAGAGCUUUUUUUACCUUUUAAGUUGAAGUCAUUGCAGAGUCUCGGUGAAAUGCUGCCCUGAAUUAGGAGCAGCCGGCGCGCGUUCCCGGAGGCGAGGGGAGCGCGGCGCCUUCGGCUUCCAGCGCUUCUCAGCCCCGAGACACCCGCGCGGGAGGGACUCGCAAACGCCUCCCGGGACCCGGACCCGCGCGGGGGAGGAUGGGUGGGCGUGGAAACCGACCGCCGAGCGUAGGGUUUGCCCCUUUACAGGAUUUUAUUUAUUUUUUUUCUUUGAGUAAAGCUUUAGGGACACUACUUCUCUUUCCUAGUAGGUAUAAGUGACAAAGUCCAAAAUCUUAACCACGGCGGGAAGCAGUCUGUGAAAACGGAUACCUUUCCGCAUAACACGCGCAUCUCUCGUCCAUCUGCCUCUUUCCCCCCUCCCCCACCCCCCCCCCCCCCCCCGCCAGCACACACUUAUCCCAAAAUAGCCGCCUUCGCUGAGACCAGUAGCUGCUGGAAAAGCUGCGGACACAGAUAUCCACACUUUCCGCAGUGGGGAGUCAAAACCUCCCGGCUGGGCGAUGAAACAAGAAGGGUGUGUUUGCCCAGUACUCUAGAAGGCAAUUGUAAUCCACAGAAGAAAUGGAAAUAAGGCUGUAACUACGGUGGAUGGAGGGGCGCAGGACGUGCUUGGCUGUUAUAGCAGGAAGUCAAUGUCAAAAACUGAUAAACAUGGAAUUAGCCUCGCAGGCAUAUUAAUUAAUUAACUGCCAGAGGAGCUUCGUUAUUAAUGCCGGUAAAGCCCAGUAGACCCAAAAGGGGGGCAGGAGGAUUGACUAACACUUGAGGAGGGAUGGAAUCUUCCCACAGCUCUUUGUAUUACAAGCCCGUUUGUAAUGUUGCUUUUUUUUUCCCCUGUAAGCCUGUGCAUCAUUUUAAAUGUUUAACUUAGUUUUAAAUGAAUAAAGACAACUAUUCACUCUCCAUGUGCAGUCUCUGUUCUGAAAUUACAAACUUGAAUUUUUAUGGUAUUUCUCCCUCCUGUAAUCUCCCUUUUCAGUGUAAUAUUUUUGAGGUGUGUGUAGGGGGCACCUACAAUCCCAAGUAUUGUUUUCAAACAUCCAAAUGGAUUUAUUAAAAUAAGCAGAAGAAUCCACUGCUUAGGAAACAACAAUGAUCCUGUCCCCUUCAUUUCGUGGAUAAGUCAGAAUUUUCUUCCCUUCACCCCAUCCACACCCCUCUGGCGAAAUAACUUGCGAGGGCUGAGUGAUUCAAAAACCCGGGUAUGAAGUUUCAACAUCGCUUAGAACUGCCAGAAGCCAGAAUUUAUUUCUUCAUUUGCUGCCCUCCCCCAUUCCAUUCUGCUCCUGUGCCCUCAAGAAUUCCAGCUCAGUUCAGUCUUUAAAAAGUAAAUGACAUGGAAAUGUGAUUCAGGACUUGAGAAACUAUGAUUGGUGGGGGAAGGGGCUGGACUGCAAGGUGAGUGUUAAUUUAGCAGACUUACCACUGCACUCAGUGUGUCCCACUGAACUGUCCCUUUGUAAAGACCUUGAGAUUUUCAUGCAACAUGGGAGUUCCUACGAAGUGAGGCAUUCUAUAUGAAGCUCUUCUCCAAGUGACAAUGAUUUCUAUUUUCAUUUUAUAAUCAAGAGGCUGAACUGCCAAAUCUCAGCAUGAAACACAGAUGGUCUGUGUUUCCAGCUUGUAUGCACAAGCUUACAAGACAGGGAAAAAUCUCAAUCCACUAAGCAAAGCACCAGGGGAGGUGAGUUAGUCUUGUCCUCCCAGUGGAACAAGGAAAUUAAAUUCCCCAAGUCGGCUGGGUAAGACGGAGAAUAAUCAGCAGGCAGAGAAGGGGAGAGAGUGUUUUCUGCCACACUAAAGCUAUCCUUUAAGCAUCCUCCCAUUGAUCCCUACAACAGUCAGUGAGGGGACAGGGUUUUUAGCAUUAUCCCUCCUUUUUUUUGGGGGGGGGGGCUCAAACCCAAACCACAGCAGCGACCUGAGCCACAGCAGUGACAAUGCUGGAUCCUUAACUGCUAGGCCACCACCCUUACUUUUUACAGAUUAGCCAACCAGAAACCAGAAAGAAUUAGUGCCUUUUCUAAACUCACAAAGCUUAGGUGCUGAGCCCGGGGAACUUCUAACCCAAAAUGUAGAGACUCUUCUCCUUUGGGAUCCAUCACACAUUCAGCCAUUCUCUGCUCUGUUCCAACAGCCCAUGUAGGCCCUGUGCUGUUAAGUUUGCUGCCCUGAACUGGAUGCAGGAGAAAGGAGUUGAUUGAGCCCCUGGAGACUGUCUCCAGCCUCAGCAAAGCAGGAACUCCCAAUGGAAAACCGAGGGAGGUACCAACGACCGAGCCCCUGGUCAUCCGUUUCCGAGGUGCCACGCUCCACAGAGUGAACAUCGACAGUCCUUCCCCCGGACCCCGCCACCCCACAUCCCCUCACCCUGCUCUCCUUGUAGCCGGAGGAAACCAGAUCGACAAGAACACCGCUCAGCCUCCUCUGGCCGGCUUGUCCAAGAGAUGGGUCAGUGGGAGGGCACAACUCCUAGAAUCCUGGAGAAAAGGGGGUCGGACUACAGCUACUGCAGUUAUUCCUCCGCAUGACCCAUCCGAAUCCCCACGCAGAAGCAAACCUCGCACGUCACCUCUUCGAGCAACAUCGCUUUGGGGAAUACUUGUGAGUUUCACUUUGGCAAAGUGUUUGAGACUGUGGCCCAAACAGAAAGGAGAUCCUCAAAGCUAAACUGUCUUCAGCAAGAAUAAGAUUCAAAAUUAUUUUUCUUUAUUCGGCCAAAUUGUUUGGACCUGAGCUACAGAGAACAUUGAAAAUAAAGAACAUCAUUAAUAUCAUAGCAACAACUUAUUGAGCCCUUGCUGUAUAUUAGUGCUAAGAAAUUUUACAUUUCACUAAGAAGUACAGUUUUACUAUUUGAAUAAUAUUUUGUACUGCACUAAGAAUUUUUAAUAUCCAGAAUCUUGAAUAACAAAGCCAGGAGAAUCGCCAAUGGUGAGGGUUUAGUGCUUGUGUAAGAGGCGCAGGGCAAAUUAAUUGCCAUGAAGCUGCCUAAUAAUUCAGGAGCAAGCACAGGGCUUUCUCACCAGAGGGAAGGUUAGGGUAGGUGGUACAGUGACACAUUAAGGAGAAGAAGCUUGCUUCCAAGUCAGAGGACCUGAGGGAAAGUUCUGGCAGCCACAGGCUGAUCACGUGGAGAAAGAAGCUGAACAUUCCUCAUCCCACUCCCAAUGGGGUUGGGGACAGGUAGGGAUGAAAUCCCACUCUUCCUCAGAUGAAUAUUCAGAAGGAAGCACCUUGUGAGCAGAAAGAAUAAUUCCAUGCUGAAAUAAUGGCUGUGAAAUCUCUCGACUGUCCAGGGUUGUCACAACGAAUGGGAGCGGAAUAGGCAGAGAAGGAAAGGCUGGACCUCUAUCAUGUGCCCAGCACUGUUCUGAGUAUUAAAAGCCAAACAAAGUGGACAGAAUGUUAGACGGCGAUGAUAUAUUUUGGUUCAUGGCACCCCCCCCCACUCCAUUUUCAAUGAAUUCCCUGCUCUUGUGUGUGCUUUUCUUGACAUCAGCACAAAGUUACAGAAGAAGCCAGAGUCUUUCGCAGUGCAAUUCAGAUUAAAGGUGAAAUUAUCUUCUGAGGUAAGAACAGUAAGUAAAAGAAUUCAUUUCAUUGUGCUAUUAUCUCAUAGCUGCUUGUAUAAGAAGUUUACAAGUUUACUUGUAAUUUAUCAGAUCUGCCCUGGUAGCUUUAAUAGAGGUGGAGGUAGUGUCUAGGUAGGCUAGAAAACACUGGCUGGCUUCUUUUUCUGAGUCCCUCAAGGCUGUGUAGACUAUGCUGGCAUCAAAUCAAGACAUCUCAGCCCAUGAAAGGGUUGGAUUCCUACCUCCUGACACACUAAAGCAUCUCAGAGGGCAGAUGGGGCAGGAAAGAGUGUGUGUUUGUUUCCAAAGGAAAACCAAUUUUAAAAAUUGACACAAAUGUAAUGUUUUAAAAACCAGUCACUAGCUGAUAUCUGUGCAGAUACCUCAUCAGCAUCUGCUUGAGGAAAGAGGAGUCUGUGCCUCUAGGGCUGCCUCCCCCCAAGAGGUCCAACCUGGAUCAAAUUUUACAUCCUGUCCUGCCCCUUCACACUCUAUUGGUGUCAUCGGCACAACGUUGUAAAUCAACUAUGCUUUAAUAAUAAAAUAUAAUUUUAAAAAACCUAUAUUGGUGUCUCUGACCUAAAACUUUUUCCCUGGUUUUUCCACCAGUGUCCACAUCUCUAUACUUAACAAUGAGAAAGGGUCAUUUAAGGAUAAAAGCUGUCUCAAUCUGUUGCCUAGUAACAAAACUCCCUGAACUCUACAGUUUACAACAACCAUC
RNAcentral lists this long non-coding RNA (6507 nucleotides) under Sus scrofa (pig). Its description in RNAcentral is "lncRNA (ENSSSCG00000060890.1)". The record is from RNAcentral. Lineage: Eukaryota; Metazoa; Chordata; Mammalia; Artiodactyla; Suidae.